GACGAACGCUGGCGGCGUGCUUAACACAUGCAAGUCGAACGGAAAGGCCCUGCUUUUGUGGGGUGCUCGAGUGGCGAACGGGUGAGUAACACGUGAGUAACCUGCCCUUGACUUUGGGAUAACUUCAGGAAACUGGGGCUAAUACCGGAUAGGAGCUCCUGCGGCAUGGUGGGGGUUGGAAAGUUUCGGCGGUUGGGGAUGGACUCGCGGCUUAUCAGCUUGUUGGUGGGGUAGUGGCUUACCAAGGCUUUGACGGGUAGCCGGCCUGAGAGGGUGACCGGCCACAUUGGGACUGAGAUACGGCCCAGACUCCUACGGGAGGAAGCAGUGGGGAAUAUUGCACAAUGGGCGGAAGCCUGAUGCAGCAACGCCGCGUGCGGGAUGACGGCCUUCGGGUUGUAAACCGCUUUCGCCUGUGACGAAGCGUGAGUGACGGUAAUGGGUAAAGAAGCACCGGCUAACUACGUG
This 468-nucleotide ribosomal RNA is filed under the name uncultured bacterium. Its description in RNAcentral is "partial 16S ribosomal RNA". It matches the Rfam family "Bacterial small subunit ribosomal RNA", at positions 28 to 507 of the family's 1533-position model. The record is from RNAcentral.